This 220-nucleotide ribosomal RNA is filed under the name Genista sagittalis. The record is from RNAcentral. Lineage: Eukaryota; Viridiplantae; Streptophyta; Magnoliopsida; Fabales; Fabaceae.
CAUCGUUGCCCAUGUGCCUUGGCCAUGUGCUAGGCACCGAUCAGGGCGAAUGUUGGCUUCCCGUGAGCAGUGUCUCACGGUUGGUUGAAAAUUGAGUCCGCGGUGGAGGGCACCGUGAUGAAUGGUGGCUGAGUUAAAGCUCGAGACCGGUCGUGCGUGUCACCCCCACUAGCUUUGUGACUCUGUGACCCAUGUGGUCUGUUGGCUGCCUAAGACGGGA